Molecule: small nucleolar RNA, 137 nt
Filed under: Erpetoichthys calabaricus (reedfish)
Lineage: Eukaryota; Metazoa; Chordata; Cladistia; Polypteriformes; Polypteridae
Description: Small nucleolar RNA SNORA72 (ENSECRG00000021226.1)
Rfam family: Small nucleolar RNA SNORA72
About the family: U72 is a member of the H/ACA class of snoRNAs. The snoRNA gene is located in intron 4 of the ribosomal L30 protein gene in human, mouse and chicken.
Source: Rfam by way of RNAcentral
AUGCGAAUAAUUCUCGCCUGUUUGGUCUGUUUAGUGAUCUAAUCAGGGCUAGACAUUCGCUAGAGUAAAAACCUUCAGAGUGUCCACAGAUGAGGUUUUCUACUUCUCUCUGUUUUCCUCCACUGUUGGUGACAGCU